This 542-nucleotide long non-coding RNA is filed under the name Musa acuminata (dwarf banana). RNAcentral describes it as "long non-coding RNA (MACU_LNC002330)". The record is from RNAcentral. Lineage: Eukaryota; Viridiplantae; Streptophyta; Magnoliopsida; Zingiberales; Musaceae.
CAGCAAUCAACUCAAUUAUGUCCAUCCUAAAAGUUUAUUGGCAACCCCCGAUUUUGUUUCCAGGACUUAAUUGGGAGCUUUUCUAGCAUGCCAGGACCCUUGCAGUUGCAAUAGGCUUUGGAAAAGGAAGUAGUAGUUGUAUGAAUAAUCUUUCCAUGAUCCCUUCCCAAUGUCCUCUGAAGCUCAACAAACCUUUUCAUACAACUAAUACUAUAUUUUUUGUAGUAACUUAAAAUAGAAAAAGCCAGAUUGUGUAUAAAAACUUCCACUUUCAAACUAGCAUUUCCAAACUACAAAGACAGAAAAUCAUGGAAGGAUUGGGUGAGUAGCAGAAAACUGCGACAUGUUUCUAUCCAACAAUGACAAGACAACUUACCCUUACCAUAGCAUAACCAGUGUAGCAGAUUACUGUGACAUGAUUCUAUCCCUUAAGUCAGUGAAUUUUUCCCUUUUCUUUUCUUGCUUGUGUUUUUCUGAGUCAGACUAUAUGCUGGAUUAGCUUUUUCAGCCUAUGCAUUGCUUCCUGAAACCAAGUACGGCCA